Molecule: non-coding RNA, 630 nt
Organism: Phalacrocorax carbo (great cormorant)
Lineage: Eukaryota; Metazoa; Chordata; Aves; Suliformes; Phalacrocoracidae
Source: RefSeq, a predicted model, not a curated record
ACGAGAUGUAGGUCCUCGAUGUCUGUUUUAAUGUACAAAACUAGGCCUUUCUAGAAAUCUCCGACUCUCGUGGAGAUACAGGGGAACAGUCAUAUUUAUACAGAAUUUGUUCAGCUGUAUAACUGAGUUUAUAAAGACUUGCUAUGGGGUAGCUGGAAUGCUCCUCAGUUACCAGUUACUUAAGCUUAGGUUUUGUCCUAGCUUUAUGAAAGAAUGGUUCUGUUCACUGUUUUUUGAUCAACAGCAGUUGCCUUGGAGGGAUUCAAGAAUGAUGCAGUGUUACGGUAGAGUGGCCCUGCAGUCCUUGUUCUGCAGUGAAGACUGGAGACUCAUCUUCAGUGCACGUGUGUGGUGUGUGAUACCUGCCGGUAACUUUGUGGCACAUACAGCCUGCUAACUUUUAAAAUUGGUAACGUUCAUCAAGAAAAGGAAGCAUGAGGAAGUGUAAUGUGAUUUUUCCAAAAUACAUUCAGAAGAGUAUGAACCAGUUUAAUACGCAUGAUUUCCCCACCUAGUGGACAGUCAAUAAAACGAACUUAUUUUGAUCUGAUAUAAACCAAUGUAUGUAUCAACACUUGUCCUGUGCUGCCUAUUUUAAGACAGCAUGGUUUGGUUUGUGCCUUAUAAUUA